RNAcentral lists this ribosomal RNA (405 nucleotides) under uncultured bacterium. Its description in RNAcentral is "partial 16S ribosomal RNA". It matches the Rfam family "Bacterial small subunit ribosomal RNA", at positions 30 to 526 of the family's 1533-position model. The record is from RNAcentral.
AUUGAACGCUGGCGGCAGGCUUAACACAUGCAAGUCGAACGAGUGGCGGACGGGUGAGUAAUGCUUGGGAAUCUGGCUUAUAGAGGGGGAAAACUAAGAGAAACUGGAGAUAAUACCGCGUACCAUAGGAUGAGCCCAAGUGGGAUUAGGUAGUGGGUGAGGUAAAGGCGCACCAAGACGACGCUCUCUAGCUGGUCUUAGAGGAUGACCAGCCACACUGGGACUGAGACACGGCCCAGACUCCUACGGGAGGCAGCAGUGGGGAAUAUUGCGCAAUGGGGGCAACCUGACGCAGCCAUGCCGCGUGAAUGAAGAAGGCCUUCGGGUUGUAAAGUUCUUUCGGUAGCGAGGCGUUAACUACAGAAGAAGCACCGGCUAACUCCGUGCCAGCAGCCGCGGUAAUAC